ACACAAUUGAGAACGUGCAUAGAAGGAAUAUAAAAAAUCCAAGUAUGUAAUUUCAUGUUAACGAGUGAGCAAUCUUAAACUCACCAAUGGUUGAUUCCAAACCACAACCACUGAUGGAGGAAGCACUCGCUUCGCUAGAGAAAGUUCAAACUCAACUCCUUCAACGAAUAUCAAAUCUAGAACAUUCCUAUCUCCCACAACAAAACGCUGACUCAGACACAAACUCAGAUACUGACACUGUAACUCGUCUUUCUUCCAUUUUGCGAACCAACAACGUUCACGACUUUUCCUUCAAAAGAGUCCCUUCUGAUUAUUACGAUUGGACCCUUGAAGCUCGUCGUGAUGCAUUGGAUGCUUCUUCCAUCUACCAUCUUUGUAAAAGCAUUGUUUUGGUUAAUACUCAAGCACCUUCUAAUGUGAUUGACUGCAGUGAUCGCAAAAAUUCUAAGUACUAUGUCGUCGUUGUUCAGUACACUGCUCGAUUCAAUGCUGAUGCUGUGAAGAACUUUUUGUAUUCACUCAACAAUGGAACUAUAGCAAAAAAGAAAUUCAACUGUAAGCUAUUUUAUCUUGUGCAAUGCUAUUUUGUCUUGUGCAUAUUUUUAUGUGUGGAUUUCAUAGGAGUUCGACAAUGGAGCGCACCUUGUAGAGAUUGAAUGGGAUACUACUGGACAUUGUGGUAUUGAAAGGAACAUGAUGAUUGUGCACCUUUUCCAACCUAAAUCUAUGAUAAAUAUGACUUUAUGCACUGCCUCAAAAUUUAAAUACUGAUGUACUUAGUGGAAACAACAUUUGUAAAUCCUUCCCCCUAUCAAAAACUACACAGUAAAUAUUUGAGAAAUUAGUCUGCAUCCCAAGUUAUUGUAAUAUGACAUUCACAAUGAAGUUGAGUUAAGGUAGGAUUGUUCAUGAAGGUUUCCUUGCUGUAUAUAUAUCUUUGCUCGCAAUUUGAAGUCGUGAGCUUCUUUGUGCAUAAAGAAAAGUAUCACGGAUGAGCUUGGUCGGGAUACGCCAACCCUGGGUUGGCUUCCCUGCUGCCUUGUUUUCAAAGUUUACAGCGUACAUUUUUUCCCUAUAAUUGAAAUAAAACAACAUCUCUCCUUGUUUCUUACUGUCUCCCUAUGGAAACAACCUUCUCCUUCUCUUGUUAUCUCAAUUUCACAGCUCAAAGGUGUUGCAACCCCAAUUGUUUAUUUAGGUGUGAAAUUAGACUAAUUUAUACCAGAAUCAUUCCUUGUUUGGUGUUGAAACUGGAUGAAUGCGUUGAAAUGUUGGGUUAUGAGAGAGGACCAAGACCAGAGCAUAUCCUACACUUUUAAAAUGUGAAAGGAUGGAAUUGAAGGCAGUGAGUGGGAAUAGGUAGGUUUUGCAGAAAAUUAAAUUUGAAGUUUCCUUUAAGGUGCUGAUAGGAUGUGCGAGAAGGUGUAUUAGAGAAUGAAGAGGAGAGUAGCAGAAGAUCGUAAUACUCAGUUAGAAGAUUAGGAAGUAGGAACAGUUAGGAGAGUUGCAGUCCUAACUGUAUAAGUAACAAAUAGUGUGAGUUGGUUGGUUGGGAUUGGGAGAGAGGAGAUUCUCUCAAAUAAACCUCAGGAUAUUCAUUGUAAUUCUUCUGUUCUUCUGCCUACUUCUCCAUCAUUAUCACUUUGAUAAUGAUCUAGGAGGUUAGUGUUCAUCAAUAAAAUAUAGUUUUCCUUUCUAUUUCUAAAUCAAUUUUACCAGUUCCUAUCAACUGGUAUCAAAGCACCAAUCUUGACACUGGAACAAUUUGAGAGUUUAUGGUUAACACGAGAACAGAAGCAAGGAUCGAAACUCUGGAGCUAAUGAUGCAAUGUUGGAUUCGUGAGAAGGAUGAUCAAGAAAACACUAUGGCUGAAUGAUUCCAGAAAUCAGAAACCAUGAUCACUUACCUCAACGAUGGGGUGGGAUUUGGGAAUAUCAUUGCAAAGGGAAGAGCAAAUCGCAAACAGAGUCAAAAUCAAGAUCAUGAAUCCAGCAGACAACUACUGAAGCUAGUGGGGAAAAAAACAGAAAUUCAGUACCGCUUACCAUCCUCAAUUUAAUGGCCAAAGGGAGGUUGUAAGUCACUGUUUGGAGACCUACCUACACUACAUGAUUGAUUCUAAGCCCAAGCAAUGGCCAGAUUGGUUAAGUUGGGCAGAAUUCUGGUUUAUAUGGGCAAGACCCUCCAGUUUUAUUGAAGGAAACCACUAUUCCCUCAAAGUGAGGCUUGCUCCUGAAGAGACAUCAACGGAGUUAACUGGCUAUGGGCACAAUGCAGUGACUUGUAUUGGCAUGAAAACAGACAUUCCGGUGAUUUUGGAUGAAGCUAUUGUAAAACUAAAUCCAGAUUUCUUUUGGUUGGGUGGUGGUGAGGUUGAUCUGAAGCUAGGAAUUCGGACAUCCGAGUUAAUCAGAUUUGUCAACCCGUUCAUCGUCAACUGUAGCAGUAAUUGAUUCUCUUGAACAUGAUUAUUUUCUUUUGCCUGUUUCAGUUUUCCAUUGAUUUUAAUACAGUUUGAUUCACUUACCAUACAAAAUGAUAGCUUUUUCCUACCUACUUUUGUAGUCUGUUUAAGUGAUAUUCUUACAUUUUACAGAUUGUUACAGAUAUCUGAUUGCAUUAUGGAUUCAUCAUAUUUUAUGAUAAGUUUAACUUCUUUAAAAAAAA
This 2668-nucleotide long non-coding RNA is filed under the name Lupinus mutabilis. RNAcentral's name for it is "partial ncRNA". Lineage: Eukaryota; Viridiplantae; Streptophyta; Magnoliopsida; Fabales; Fabaceae. The record is from RNAcentral.